UCGAGGGAGAACGGACUUCGGGUUCGGGGAGACCGGCGAACGGGUGAGUAACACGUGAGGAACCUGCCCUGUAGACCGGAAUAACCACGGGAAACUGUGGCUAAUGCCGGAUAAUCUUUCAGGCCCGCAUGGGUAUGGAAGGAAAUGGUCCGCCGCUACAGGAUGGCCUCGCGGCCUAUCAGCUCGUUGGUGAGGUAAUGGCUCACCAAGGCGACGACGGGUAGCUGGCGUGAGAGCGCGACCAGCCACACUGGGACUGAGACACGGCCCAGACUCCUACGGGAGGCAGCAGUAGGGAAUCUUGCGCAAUGGGCGAAAGCCUGACGCAGCGACGCCGCGUGCGGGAAGAAGGCCUUCGGGUUGUAAACCGCUUUCAGGAGGGAAGAAGCGAAAGUGACGGUACCUCCAGAAGAAGCCCCGGCCAACUACGUGCCAGCAGCCGCGGUAAUACGUAGGGGGUAAGCGUUGUCCGGAAUUAUUGGGCGUAAAGAGCUCGUAGGCGGUCCUUUAAGUCGGGUGUGAAAUCUCAGGGCUCAACCCUGAAACCGCACCCGAUACUGAAGGACUUGAGGCAGGUAGGGGAAGGUGGAAUUCCUGGUGUAGCGGUGAAAUGCGCAGAUAUCAGGAGGAACACCCGUGGCGAAGGCGCCCUUCUGGGCCUGUUCUGACGCUGAGGAGCGGAAGCGUGGGACAACAG
RNAcentral lists this ribosomal RNA (697 nucleotides) under uncultivated soil bacterium clone S007. RNAcentral's name for it is "bacterial SSU rRNA". It matches the Rfam family "Bacterial small subunit ribosomal RNA", at positions 62 to 775 of the family's 1533-position model. The record is from RNAcentral.